UACGUAGGUGACAAGCGUUGUCCGGAUUUACUGGGCGUAAAGCGCACGUAGGCGGAUUGGUCAGUUAGGGGUGAAAUCCUGGAGCUCAACUCCAGAACUGCCUUUAAUACUGCCAGUCUCGAGUCCGGAAGAGGUAAGUGGAACUCCUAGUGUAGAGGUGGAAUUCGUAGAUAUUAGGAAGAACACCAGUGGCGAAGGCGGCUUACUGGUCCGGUACUGACGCUGAGGUGCGAAAGCGUGGGGAGCAAACAGG
This 253-nucleotide ribosomal RNA is filed under the name uncultured bacterium. Its description in RNAcentral is "partial 16S ribosomal RNA". It matches the Rfam family "Bacterial small subunit ribosomal RNA", at positions 524 to 776 of the family's 1533-position model. The record is from RNAcentral.